RNAcentral lists this ribosomal RNA (799 nucleotides) under uncultured Glomeromycotina. RNAcentral describes it as "SSU rRNA". It matches the Rfam family "Eukaryotic small subunit ribosomal RNA", at positions 314 to 1114 of the family's 1831-position model. The record is from RNAcentral. Lineage: Eukaryota; Fungi; Glomeromycota.
AUCAACUUUCGAUGGUAGGAUAGAGGCCUACCAUGGUGGUAACGGGUAACGGGGUGUUAGGGCACGACACCGGAGAGGGAGCCUGAGAAACGGCUACCACAUCCAAGGAUGGCAGCAGGCGCGCAAAUUACCCAAUCCCGACACGGGGAGGUAGUGACAAUAAAUAACAAUACGGGGCUCUUUAGGGUCUCGUAAUUGGAAUGAGUACAAUUUAAAUCUCUUAACGAGGAACAAUUGGAGGGCAAGUCUGGUGCCAGCAGCCGCGGUAAUUCCAGCUCCAAUAGCGUAUAUUAAAGUUGUUGCAGUUAAAAAGCUCGUAGUUGAAUUUCGGGAUCAGCAGGUUGGUCGUGCCUCUGGUAUGCACUGGUUUCGCUGAUUCCUCCUUUCUGAAGAACUGUAAUGUCAUUAAUUUGGUGUUGCAGGGAAACAGGACUGUUACUUUGAAAAAAUUAGAGUGUUUAAAGCAGGCUAACGCUUGAAUACAUUAGCAUGGAAUAAUGAAAUAGGACGUUUGAUCCUAUUUUGUUGGUUUCUAGGAUUGACGUAAUGAUUAAUAGGGAUAGUUGGGGGCAUUAGUAUUCAAUUGUCAGAGGUGAAAUUCUUGGAUUUAUUGAAGACUAACUACUGCGAAAGCAUUUGCCAAGGAUGUUUUCAUUAAUCAAGAACGAAAGUUAGGGGAUCGAAGACGAUCAGAUACCGUCGUAGUCUUAACCAUAAACUAUGCCGACUAGGGAUCGGACGAUGUUAAUUUUUUAAUGACUCGUUCGGCGCCUUACGGGAAACCAAAGUGUUUGGGUUC